CGGGGCAUGGUGAAAUGGUUCUCACGCGUGCUUUGGGAGCAUGAAUUCCAGGUUCAAUUCCUGGUGCCCCGACCA
RNAcentral lists this transfer RNA (75 nucleotides) under Elusimicrobiota bacterium. Its description in RNAcentral is "Elusimicrobia bacterium (groundwater metagenome) tRNA-Pro". It matches the Rfam family "tRNA". From Rfam's summary of the family: Transfer RNA (tRNA) molecules are approximately 80 nucleotides in length. Their secondary structure includes four short double-helical elements and three loops (D, anti-codon, and T loops). The record is from RNAcentral. Lineage: Bacteria; Pseudomonadati; Elusimicrobiota.